GACGAACGCUGGCGGCGUGCUUAACACAUGCAAGUCGAACGGAAAGGCCCUGCUUUUGUGGGGUGCUCGAGUGGCGAACGGGUGAGUAACACGUGAGUAACCUGCCCUUGACUUUGGGAUAACUUCAGGAAACUGGGGCUAAUAACGGAUAGGAGCUCCUGCUGCAUGGUGGGGGUUGGAAAGUUUCGGCGGUUGGGGAUGGACUCGCGGCUUAUCAGCUUGUUGGGGGGGUAGUGGCUUACCAAGGCAUUGACGGGUAGCCGGCCUGAGAGGGUGACCGGCCACAUUGGGACUGAGAUGCGGCCCAGACUCCUACGGGAGGCAGCAGUGGGGAAUAGUGCACAAUGGGCGGAAGCCUGAUGCAGCAACGCCGCGUGCGGGAUGACGGCCUUCGGUUUGUAAACCGCUUUCGCCUGUGACGAAGCGUGAGUGACGGUAAUGGGUAAAGAAGCACCGGCUAACUACGUG
This 468-nucleotide ribosomal RNA is filed under the name uncultured bacterium. RNAcentral's name for it is "partial 16S ribosomal RNA". It matches the Rfam family "Bacterial small subunit ribosomal RNA", at positions 28 to 507 of the family's 1533-position model. The record is from RNAcentral.